This is a long non-coding RNA of Bufo bufo (common toad), 211 nucleotides long. RefSeq lists it as uncharacterized. The record is from RefSeq and is a predicted model, not a curated record. The transcript is spliced from 3 exons. Lineage: Eukaryota; Metazoa; Chordata; Amphibia; Anura; Bufonidae.
CAGUGGUAAAAAGGCAGGAUGGAUACAUGUUCUCAUUCUGUUUACAUCAAAUUCGGACUCUACCAUUUGAAUGUCUCAACAGAAAUCGAGACUCAUUAGACCAGGCAACGUUUUUCCAGUCUUCGACAGUCCAAUUUUGGUGAGCUUGUGCAAAAUGUAGCCUCUUUUUCCUAUUUGAAGUGGAGAUGAGUGGUACCCGGUGGGGUCUUCU